ACAAGUUCACUUUCCUUUACAAAAGGCCUGUCUACCCCCACUAUUUUCUCCUGGCCUUUCCCGGUCCUAGCUGUGCUAGCCACUUUGCGUACCUUGCUUCACUGGCAGCAUGGAUUCGUACUGGGACACUGGUAAUUCUGACAAGAUAAUCCAAUGGCACUAUGACUUCAUCUCAAAAAUUCCAGCCAGGUCAGCCGCAGCUGGAGUCCUCACAGGCUAGCAGGUGAUUUUCCUGUAAGGGGAGGCAGCGCUGACUGCCUUGUGAAGCCUUCAUGCAGCCUGCUCUUCAAGCUCACUGAAAUCUGGGGUAAAGUGCUCUGUGGCAACCCUAAUAAAUGAGAAAUGGACACCUAUGCUACAAAAGAUCUCAAAAAUUGCAUUGAGAAGUUGCCAAAUACUUUCAGAGAGUUGAAAAGAGUUGUGCAUUCGGCGAUCAGUAACGAGCCCAAGAGGAGCUUUAUUCGGUGCAGUUUCACAUCUAUUAGACUAUUCUGCCCUUACAGCAGUCUCCAGAGAGAGCCUCUGGCUGCUUCUUAAGGUCAGUGAGUCAUUUUUAUACAAUAAAUGAUCUCGCUAGCUGGAAAUGUUGGAAAGG
This 595-nucleotide long non-coding RNA is filed under the name Anser brachyrhynchus (Pink-footed goose). RNAcentral describes it as "lncRNA (ENSABRG00000000457.1)". The record is from RNAcentral. Lineage: Eukaryota; Metazoa; Chordata; Aves; Anseriformes; Anatidae.